RNAcentral lists this transfer RNA (72 nucleotides) under Hordeum vulgare subsp. vulgare (domesticated barley). It matches the Rfam family "tRNA". Rfam says of the family: Transfer RNA (tRNA) molecules are approximately 80 nucleotides in length. The record is from Rfam by way of RNAcentral. Lineage: Eukaryota; Viridiplantae; Streptophyta; Magnoliopsida; Poales; Poaceae.
GGUUUCAUAGUGUAGUGGUUAGCACUCCAGACUUUGAAUCUGGCGACCUGGGUUCGAAUCCAGGCGAGACCU